UACGUAGGGCGCGAGCGUUGUCCGGAAUUAUUGGGCGUAAAGAGCUUGUAGGCGGUUUGUCGCGUCUGCUGUGAAAGGCCGGAGCUUAACUCCGUGUAUUGCAGUGGGUACGGGCAGACUAGAGUGCAGUAGGGGAGACUGGAAUUCCUGGUGUAGCGGUGGAAUGCGCAGAUAUCAGGAGGAACACCGAUGGCGAAGGCAGGUCUCUGGGCUGUAACUGACGCUGAGAAGCGAAAGCAUGGGGAGCGAACAGG
Molecule: ribosomal RNA, 254 nt
Filed under: uncultured bacterium
Lineage: Bacteria
Description: partial 16S ribosomal RNA
Rfam family: Bacterial small subunit ribosomal RNA
Source: RNAcentral